GGCGUGGUAGCCAAGCGGUAAGGCAGUGGUCUGCAAAACCACUAUGCACCGGUUCGAUCCCGGUCCACGCCU
RNAcentral lists this transfer RNA (72 nucleotides) under Omnitrophica WOR_2 bacterium RIFCSPHIGHO2_02_FULL_50_17. Its description in RNAcentral is "tRNA-Cys". It matches the Rfam family "tRNA". Rfam says of the family: Transfer RNA (tRNA) molecules are approximately 80 nucleotides in length. Their secondary structure includes four short double-helical elements and three loops (D, anti-codon, and T loops). The record is from RNAcentral. Lineage: Bacteria; Pseudomonadati; Candidatus Omnitrophota. RNAcentral also lists the same sequence under 1 other name.